RNAcentral lists this long non-coding RNA (1859 nucleotides) under Triticum aestivum (bread wheat). Its description in RNAcentral is "long non-coding RNA (TAES_LNC020494)". The record is from RNAcentral. Lineage: Eukaryota; Viridiplantae; Streptophyta; Magnoliopsida; Poales; Poaceae.
CAGGUUUUUAUCUUACAACAGAAGGGAAUCCUCACAAUCUGCAAGAUACAGCAAGGUACUUUGUAUGACGUGCCUGAGCCAUCAAUUUGCCGGUCCUUUUCUUCCUGAAACCAACAUAGACAACACCAACUGAUUUCCUAGCACGCAAUAGCUUCCCCUCAACUUCUAUUUCUUCCUAGAAAAAUAAAAGAAAUAGUUUACAGCAUGUCAAAUAACUAUUAAAAUAACAUAAGAGUGAAAAGACAAAGGUAUGUUCAAAAUUAAUCAAGCCUUAUGAUAAUAUUAUAGCAAGAAACUGGCCAAAGCUGCCUUUUCGGGGGCAAAAAUACGUUUGGAUUCUUCAGAGCAAUAUUUAGACAACAUGACAAUAACUCUGAUCCUAAACUAAUUCUAGGAACCUCUUAGAGCAAUAUCUGGACAACAUGACAAUAAUUAUGAUCCUAAACUAAUCUUGGAAACAUUUUGUACCCAACAUGCUCCAAUCUAUACUCAGCGCAUCAAAGAAAACAAAAAAUGAAUAACACCCAGUCGUGUAAAUGCAGAGGCACUGAAUUCAACCAUCUUUUCUACUUAGUACACACUUACAUUCCUAUAAUAUUAAAAUGACUGGAAGGUAAGAAGUGGUGGUCUUUUUAUCUUGCCAAUUGAGAUAUUAGCAUACAAACUUCCAAUGAUGCUUCUGAAACACCAAAUUCCUUAUUACAUAUGCAUCAUGCCGCAAUAAAAUCUAGAUGACGGCAAUCUUCACAAAAUGUAGAUGGCACCUGCCUAAACUUGACACCAUCGACCAAAUGUAAUUUCGAUACCAUGGUCAAAACUAAAAAAAACAAGAGAGGAGUAAGCCGCUGCCUAGAAAACUUACCUCGAGGGACAGAGCAUAACAACCCCUGCAAAAUUAUGAAGAAAAAAUUCGUUCCUGUCAAACAAGAGAGGAAAUCAAAAGGAAAUGAAAAAAGAGAUCCUUCUUCUCCGCUAAUCUGAGAGGGAUAAACAGAGGGUAAAUUAACUCACCGAACCAAUCUCUCCUUGACUGGUCUGCUAAGACCUCGGUUGUAGCAAAGGUAUUUGUUCAUGUUCCCCACAGACCACGGUGCAACCACAGCAAGGCAAUGAACAUGAACUGGAAGAUGAAAGUUAGCACCAAAUCAGGUAAUAUUGGAGGAUGUCAGGUCUGCACUUCACAUUUUACAAUUCAUAAGUGCACUCUUUUUUUGUUCAAACAGAAAGUAAUUAAGUAUUAAGUCUCAGCCUGGGCCCCUCUAAUGAAAAAUUCCAUACAACAGCUAAGCUAAUAUCCAUACUCCAAUCGUGAAGUUUGAACAGAAAAUGAAACAGAGGUAACAAUCUCACUUUACCUGUAAAUGGAAUGCAACUAAGGAGAUAAUUUCCGUGGAGCAAAUCGUUCCAUCUUUCGGACAAUUAACACAAUGUAUCUUAGCCAGAAAUUCAUCUACAGAAGUAUCUGAAAUCUUCCAUCAAUAGAAGAAACAAGUUUAAAUAUCCUUGAUCUUGACAUGCCUGCAAAUCGGAAGAACAUCAACGACAUAUAGAGAUGCAUAAAUAACAAGAUCAGGAGGAGAUUACUGUGUGAUGGGGGAGAGAGAGAGGAGCCGAGGGGAAGCCCACCUUGGAAUCAGCCAUUGCUUGAUGCUUGUGCCGCUCCCCAAAAUCUGCCCGUGAUUGCCUGUCCCCGCCGCCGCACACAUGGUGCUAGGCGGACCGUGCACCUUCUCCCUGCGCACCUCCUCGUACCGCACCAUAUGCUCGUUGCUGCCCUUCAGCGUGGACGUGACCCUCGCGUAAGGCACGCGGCCCAUCAAGGUCGAGCUCUUGUACGCGCCACUGUUGUUGGCUGCGCU